AAAGUCGUAACAAGGUUUCCGUAGGUGAACCUGCGGAAGGAUCAUUACUGGAAAUAUUCAAGGUUUUUGUAAGCUGGCCUUUCGAGGCAUGUGCUCACCUUGUUUCAAUCCAAUUCACACCUGUGCACACUUUGUAGUGUUUAGUUGUUGUAAAAUGACUAACUCUACGUAUUUUUAUACAUACACAUAAAGUUUUAGAAUGUUAAUACUUGUGAUAAUACACAUUUAAAACAACUUUCAACAACGGAUCUCUUGGCUCUC
Molecule: unclassified non-coding RNA, 261 nt
Filed under: Basidiomycota sp.
Lineage: Eukaryota; Fungi; Basidiomycota
Description: partial contains small subunit ribosomal RNA, internal transcribed spacer 1, and 5.8S ribosomal RNA
Rfam family: Eukaryotic small subunit ribosomal RNA (bases 1-47)
Source: RNAcentral